RNAcentral lists this ribosomal RNA (606 nucleotides) under Micronychus sp. UPOL MT0001. RNAcentral describes it as "partial 16S ribosomal RNA". It matches the Rfam family "Bacterial large subunit ribosomal RNA", at positions 1827 to 2762 of the family's 2925-position model. Lineage: Eukaryota; Metazoa; Arthropoda; Insecta; Coleoptera; Lycidae. The record is from RNAcentral.
CAUGUCCUUUUGAUUAUGAUUUAAGGUCUAAUCUGCUCAAUGAAGGUUUAAAUUGCCGCAGUAUCUUGACUGUGCAAAGGUAGCAUAAUAAUUAGUUUCUUGAUUAGAAACUGGAAUGAAUGGUUGGACGAGAAAAUAGCUGUCUCUUAUGGAUUAAUUAUUGAAUUUUAUUUUUAAGUUAAAAAGCUUAAAUUAAAAUAAAAGACGAGAAGACCCUAUAGAGUUUAAUAUUUAGGGUUUAUGAAAUUUUGGUAAGCUUAUUGUGCUUUAAAUAUUUAGUUGGGGUGACUUGGGGAUUUAAUUAAUUCUCUAAAUUAUGAAUUGUUGAUAAAUAAAUAGAAAAUCUAGAUUUUUAAAUUUAAAACUAAUUACCUUAGGGAUAACAGCGUAAUCUUUCUUUAAAGUUCUUAUUGAAAGAAAGUUUUGCGACCUCGAUGUUGGAUUAAAAUUAAUUUUUGGUGCAGUAACUUAAAAAUUAGGUCUGUUCGACCUUUAAAAUUUUACAUGAUCUGAGUUUAGACCGGCGUAAGCCAGGUCGGAUUCUAUCUUUAGUUUGUUAAUAUAUUUUAGUACGAAAGGACCAAAUAUAUAUUAAAUUAAUAAUUG